GAGUCCCAAACAGGACGAAACGCGCGUC
Molecule: non-coding RNA, 28 nt
Organism: Schistosoma mattheei
Lineage: Eukaryota; Metazoa; Platyhelminthes; Trematoda; Strigeidida; Schistosomatidae
Source: Rfam